Molecule: ribosomal RNA, 553 nt
Filed under: Rinodina albana
Lineage: Eukaryota; Fungi; Ascomycota; Lecanoromycetes; Caliciales; Physciaceae
Description: partial small subunit ribosomal RNA
Rfam family: Bacterial small subunit ribosomal RNA
Source: RNAcentral
CWAUAAGGAUACUAAUUUGACUAGAGUUUAAUGUGAGGGGGCACUAAAGUAYUGAUAAGKGUAGAGAUGAAWUUCUGUGAUACAAUAUACGGCACUGGCAAAGGCGAAAGCAUCUCCUUAUGUAAUAACUGACGUUGAGGGACGAAGGCUUUGUAUAGCAAAAAGGAUUANAUACCCAAGUAGUCCUAKCAGAAAAUUAUGAAUGUCAUAGGAUAGAAAUAUUUUGUUCUAUAAAUGAAWGUGUAAKCAUUCCACCUCRAGAGUAAUUUGGCAACRUUGGAACUGAAAUCAUUAGACCGUUUCUGARACAAGUAGUGAAGUAUGUUGUUUAAUUUGAUGGUCCGCAAAAAACCUUACCWCAAUUUGAAUAGAAAAAUUUUUUUCAUACAAGCGCUGCACGGUUGUCUUCAGUUAAUGUCGUGAGAUUUUGGUUAGUUCCAUUAAAUUAACGUAAACCCUUACUUUAUUUUYACAUAGAGUAGUUCACCGCUWGAUUGGAUAUGAUMACAGGAACUARGACAAGUCAUCAUGGCCUUAAUACUGUGGGCUAUAG